Molecule: ribosomal RNA, 191 nt
Filed under: uncultured Flavobacterium sp.
Lineage: Bacteria; Pseudomonadati; Bacteroidota; Flavobacteriia; Flavobacteriales; Flavobacteriaceae
Description: partial 16S ribosomal RNA
Rfam family: Bacterial small subunit ribosomal RNA
Source: RNAcentral
CUCCUACGGGAGGCAGCAGUGAGGAAUAUUGCGCAAUGGAGGAAACUCUGACGCAGCCAUGCCGCGUGCAGGAAGACGGUCUUAUGGAUUGCAAACUGCUUUUGUAUGCCAAGAAACCUUAGUACGUGUACUAAGCUGACGGUAGCAUACGAAUAAGGAUCGGCUAACUCCGUGCCAGCAGCCGCGGUAAU